GGAUCAUUACCGAGUUAUCACAACUCCAACCCCUUGGGAACCUUACCGUCGUUUCCUCGGCGCACUGCUGCGGGAAGCUACCCUGUAGUGGUUGUUUACCCUACAGCUCGCACCCUGCAGCGGCGCCGAAAGGACUCCCAAAACUCUUUUAUCUAAGUUACCUCGAACAAUUUACUAUACAAUAGUAUUAAAACUUUCAACAACGGAUCUCUUGGUUCUGGCAUCGAUGAAGAACGCAGCGAAAUGCGAUAAGUAAUGUGAAUUGCAGAAUUCAGUGAAUCAUCGAAUCUUUGAACGCACAUUGCGCCCAUUAGUAUUCUAGUGGGCAUGCCUAUUCGAGCGUCAUUUCAACCCUUAAGCCCUGUUGCUUAGCGUUGGGAAUCUGCUGCUUCGGCGCAGUUCCUUAAAUUCAUUGGCGGAGCUGUGGCACACUCUAGGCGUAGUAGUUUAACACCUCGCCUCUAGAGUGGCCUCGGUUACUUGCCGUAAAACCCCUAUAUUUCUAAUGGUUGACCUCGGAUUAGGUAGGAAUACCCGCUGAACUUAAGCAUAUCAAUAAGCGGAGGAA
RNAcentral lists this ribosomal RNA (568 nucleotides) under Annulohypoxylon truncatum. RNAcentral describes it as "eukaryotic LSU rRNA". The stretch from base 192 to 345 matches the Rfam family "5.8S ribosomal RNA". Lineage: Eukaryota; Fungi; Ascomycota; Sordariomycetes; Xylariales; Hypoxylaceae. The record is from RNAcentral.